Molecule: ribosomal RNA, 253 nt
Filed under: uncultured bacterium
Lineage: Bacteria
Description: partial 16S ribosomal RNA
Rfam family: Bacterial small subunit ribosomal RNA
Source: RNAcentral
UACAGAGGGGGCAAGCGUUGUUCGGAAUUACUGGGCGUAAAGGGCGCGUAGGCGGCCAACUAAGUCGGACGUGAAAUCCCCGGGCUCAACCCGGGAACUGCGUCCGAUACUGGAUGGCUUGAAUCCGGGAGAGGGAUGUGGAAUUCCAGGUGUAGCGGUGAAAUGCGUAGAUAUCUGGAGGAACACCCGUGGCGAAGGCGGUUCUCUGGGACGGUACUGACGCUGAGACGCGAAAGCGUGGGGAGCGAACAGG